UCGGGAUAGCUCAGUUGGUAGAGCAGAGGACUGAAAAUCCUCGUGUCACCAAGUAUCAA
Molecule: transfer RNA, 59 nt
Filed under: Aglaonema crispum
Lineage: Eukaryota; Viridiplantae; Streptophyta; Magnoliopsida; Alismatales; Araceae
Description: partial tRNA-Phe
Source: RNAcentral